AACCUGUUCAGUCCUUGCACUGUUGUAAGACUGAUUCCUGUGAAGAAACAGGCUGCUAAAAAGAGAACUGGUGAGCUCAAAGAAAGAUACCCACUUCUACCAUGUUCUAGGAAGACCUCUAUGUCAACAGUACAAAUAUAAGCAUGAUGCCAGAUGUUCUGAAAAUUUCCUUGGGUCCCUCUUUCUGAGAGUUCGGGAGUGAAAGGAGCUGAUUUGGUUUAAAGGUUCUCUGAAGAUUAAUAUUAUCCCUCAUUUGCAGAACCAUUAAAAACUUGUAAUCAAGCAAAUGAGAACGUAAAUCUGUACAUUUUGGACAGAUUUUCUACAAUCAUUCCCAAACAUAAUUUUUUAAGUGAUAGGAUCACAUUUCAUCUGAAUAUCAAGAAGUUGAAAUCUACAGCUGAAUGCAUCUCUUGUCAGAUAGUCCAUAUCUGAGAAAGGAGAUGAGAAGUAGCUUCUUGUGGAUUGCAGAUUGCAGAGUACUAACCCCAUAAGCAGAUUGCAGAGUACUUACUGAAAGAUUCAAGUUAAUGUUGACAGAAAUGAGAAAACCCAAGACAACCUACAUGAAUGAAACGUGAACUGAAAUAAAUAUUAACAGUGAUAUCAUCAAUAGGAAUCAAGCUUCUCCAGGAAGGAUACUCCAACAAACUAGAUUUCAUAUCACUUCUGACACUUGAUGUACUGCCUCCAAAAGGCAGUAUUCAUGGAAAUACAAGCUAUCUUUCUUACCAUGGGAAUGUUCCCUAAGUAUCUGCAUCAAUAUCUGUAAACUUUUGAGACCUGGAGAAAUAAAUACAGCAGUGUUGUAUUCUGACUUCUGCUUCAGUGAAGAUCUAACUGAAUUUCUUGAGGAGAUGAUUUUUAUGGACUACCAAAGGAGGCAGGCAUCCUGAAAUUACCUUAAGUCUUACAGAACAAUUGGGUGAUGCAAGUACAUUUAAGCAGUAUGUACUGUUGUAUGUAUUGAUGUAAUUCCAGGGCAGUCAAUUGAAUAAUUUAUCCUAGGGAAAAGUAAGACAGCAAUUUUUUCCACCUCCUCAUCCUGGAUACUCCUGUCAUAGUCACUAAACUGAGACUUGUGGUUACAGUGACAGAGGGGGAAAAAGUGCUGUACUUUCAAGGAUCAAAUUUCUGUUGAUGUCACUGAAACAAGGACAGUUUCAUUCACUGGAAGACUAUAAGAUUUUUCCUCUAUGUUAUAGGUAAAUAUGAGGUGCUCCAAAAGUAAUGCCUCCUAUUUUGUUAUGUUGUCCUGUGACAUCAAAAUGGGUGUUGGUGGCAUGGCAGUAGGGGUUGAACCUUCCCACCAAUAUUUCAUUAUUUUUUGUUGUCGUGAGACAGAUGGCAGCUGAAAAUUUGCUCUAUCAAAUAGUGUUAUUGUGCUUUUUUUGUGUGUGUAUAGUUACCAUGGUAAUAAAUAGAAAGCAUUACUUUUGGAGCAUCCUACGUAGAUUCUUCUGUUUUGGUUCUGGAUAUCCUUAUUUUUUGCUAGCAUGAUAUCUGCUCUGUGUUAGAAUCAAAGAACCACAGAAUCACCACAGUUGGAAAAGACCUCCAAGAACAUUCAGUCCAACCAUCCACCUACCAACCAUAGCUGCCCACUAAACCAUGUCCCUUAGUACAGCAUCUAAACAUGCGAUGGUAGUCCCAUAUAGAAGGGACUACCUCUCUUUUAUCUCAUAGGCACUAUGUCAACAUAACCUUCAGGAAAAUAACAAUAACUUUCUUAUCCCAAAUUCUAAUUACAAAAUGUAAUGACUGUAGGUGGAUAACGAUGGCUAAACAGGGACCAAUAUACAACACCGAGGAAACAGUAUUUUGAAAUGAGAAAUUAGUCUUCUGCUAUGAGGAAAAUAAAUCAGUCAUUCUAUAUUCAAUAUGGGAACUUCUGAGAACUUGAUCUUUGCUUUUCUAUAGCAAAGAAGAAAAAUGCACUGAAAUUUCAGUCUGCUUUUAUUUUCUAUGUUUUUGAGCAAAAAAAAAAAAAAAAAUUGGAACGUGAACCACUGAGUCUCAUACCACUGUCUUGGUAUGUUGUGGUUAUGGCAUGUGGGUUAUUUUUUUCUGAAAAUGAUAUAAAAUACUUGAUGUUCCUCUGUAUUUUAUUCUGAAUAAUCUUUUCUGAAUGGAACUUUGUCCUAAUACAAGUGCCACUAAAAUAAAGGUUAACCUCACUGACUGUAUCUAACUUCAGUGGAAAAGUUUUUAUAAAUUACCUUAUUGUUUCACAGGCCUUGGAGAGUGCUGUUGUGGAUGGCAAUGAGUGUGACUCAUCUGGCUAUAGAGCUGGAAAUGGAAAUGUAAUAUUAAAGAAAAUAAAUAACAAGACUGAAAAGAGAAUUAAAUGAGGAAAUGAGGCAUGAAUGCGUGAGACAGAGGUUAGUCUACUGCAUUUCUACCCUGGUUGUUUGUUUGUUUUGCCUUACCUGAUGUUCCAGGCAGCAUUAUACAGCAACUUUGCCCCACAUUCUUCCCUCCCUUCCUUUCUCGGGACUGUUUGCCCUUACUGUGUUCUGCCUGCUUCGCUGGAGGACUGUGUCUGUAUCGUGGCUGCAUUCAUUCAAGCUGGAAAUCAGAAGAAGGUAAAUACUGAAGAGACACUGCAGGAAACUGUCUUUCCAAGGAGCUGAACUUUCUGCUCACUCAUUGCUCAUGGAGAGCUCUGCUGACUCCUAUCACAACCCCCACUGGCAGCUGUUCCCCAGAGUUCCAGACACCUCUCCGGAAGAGAAGAAGAACUACAUACCGCAGGGGGCUUUGUGUUCAGAGAGGAGAUAUAACCCCUGGCAAGGUCACCUGAUGUCCCUUUUUUUUCCUUCGGCUCUCCUCCCUGCUGCUCGACCCAACUGCGCAUCUCACCCCAGCAUUAUGACUUCCCAUGUUCAACAAGCCGUGGACAAAUUCUUCUAUCUAGUUCAGAACUCUCCAUCUAUUUUAGCAAAGCUGGUUAUGCUCUAUUCUUGAAGUGCCAUGAUGAUAAGGACCUCCACUGAGAAUGCUUUUAAUUUGAAUUCUGACAGAUUUCUUUUCCAGAUUUUUGUCUGUAAUGCUAAGAUAUAUUUUCAUAUAUUCUGAGGUAAAUAGUGUGAAAUAAUAGGAUUUUUGUUUGCUUCCAUCCUCAAAUCCUCAACUGUAUGAUCAAUAUGCAAGAGGUAUCAGUUUGCAAAUAUAAAGUUACCCAGUUUCAUAAUUCUACAUUCUAGCAUCUUUUUUUAAUUCUCUCCCUUCUAGUUUGCCACUUUUCAUCUGCAAAUACAUCCAAAUGAUGAAACAAGUCCUCACUAUAAAGAUUUUCUUUCUGCCUUUAAACACUAUGCUCACUCACCUUUGUAAUGCUGUAAUGGUCAUCUAAUAUAACAGAAAAUUCUUGAUGGGUGUAAUUCCUUUUCAUGAAUAAAUUACAAAUGGCAGUAAAAUGAGCUUUGCCUUUCUCAAGAUAUUAUGUGAUUCAGACUCAAACUUAUGAUUUAAAUUAAAGGAAAUAUCUCUUAAUAUCAUAAUAAUUGAUUUCAAAUCAAAUUUUUAAAUUUCAAAUUCUGAUUUCAGUAUCCUCCUCAAAGUAUAUAGAAGGAUUAUGUAGUCA
Molecule: long non-coding RNA, 3586 nt
Filed under: Gallus gallus (chicken)
Lineage: Eukaryota; Metazoa; Chordata; Aves; Galliformes; Phasianidae
Source: RNAcentral